UACGUAGGUGGCAAGCGUUGUCCGGAAUUACUGGGCGUAAAGCGCGCGCAGGCGGCUCUUUAAGUCUCGUGGUCAAAUGCCGGGGCUCAACCCCGAGCGUGCCGGGGAUACUGGAGGGCUGGAGACAGGUAGAGGCAAGCGGAAUUCCGGGUGUAGCGGUGGAAUGCGUAGAGAUCCGGAAGAACACCGGAGGCGAAGGCGGCUUGCUGGACCUGGUCUGACGCUGAGGCGCGAAAGCGUGGGGAGCGAACAGG
This 254-nucleotide ribosomal RNA is filed under the name uncultured bacterium. RNAcentral's name for it is "partial 16S ribosomal RNA". It matches the Rfam family "Bacterial small subunit ribosomal RNA", at positions 524 to 776 of the family's 1533-position model. The record is from RNAcentral.